Molecule: ribosomal RNA, 1876 nt
Filed under: Mycoplasmopsis bovis
Lineage: Bacteria; Bacillati; Mycoplasmatota; Mycoplasmoidales; Metamycoplasmataceae
Description: partial 23S ribosomal RNA
Rfam family: Bacterial large subunit ribosomal RNA
Source: RNAcentral
CGCGAGGGAAACAACCCAGAUCGUCAGCUAAGGUCCCAAAAUCGUGUUAAGUCAGAAAGGUUGUGAGGUUUCAUAAACAACUAGGAAGUUGGCUUAGAAGCAGCCAUCUUUUAAAGAGUGCGUAAUAGCUCACUAGUCAAGAGACCUUGCGCCGACAAUGUAACGGGAGUAAAACACGAUACCGAAGCUACGGGUACAUUUAUGUACGUUAGAGGAGCGUUCUUAGGGCAAUGAAGCUAGACUGUAAAGACUAGUGGAGCGCUAAGAAGCGAGAAUGCCGGUAUGAGUAACGAUUCGUAGUGAGAAUCUACGACGCCUAUUGGGGAAGGUUUCCUGGGCAAGGUUCGUCCACCCAGGGUUAGUCAGGACCUAAGGCGAGGCUGAAAAGCGUAGUCGAUGGACAACAGGUUAAUAUUCCUGUACUUUCUUUAAUUGUGAUGGAGUGACGGAGAAGGAUAAGCAUACCUAUUAUUGGAUUUAGGGGUAAGUAGUUACUGGUGAUUGUAGGCAAAUCCGCAAUCUAUAACUGGGAGCUAUGAUGCAUAGGACUUUUGUCUGAAUUUGCCAAUUCCAUGCUUCCUAGAAAAGUUUCUAAACUUAAUUUUAUUGAAACCUGUACCAAGAACGGACACACGUCCCCAAGAUGAGUAUUCUAAGGCGAGCGAGAAAACUAGUGUUAAGGAACUCUGCAAAAUGACCCCGUAAGUUCGCAAGAAGGGGCGCCUAUGGUAACACAUAGGCCACAGUAAAUUAUGAGGGGCAACUGUUUAUCAAAAACACAACUCUCUGCUAAACCGCAAGGUGAUGUAUAGGGGGUGAAGCCUGCCCAGUGCCCGAAGGUUAAGUGGAUGCGUUAGCUUAUGCGAAGCGUUGAAAUGAAGCCCGGGUGAACGGCGGCCGUAACUAUAACGGUCCUAAGGUAGCGAAAUUCCUUGUCGGCUAAAUACUGACCUGCACGAAAGGCAUAAUGAUCUCUCAACUGUCUCAACACUAGACUCGGUGAAAUUAUGGUCCCAGUGAAAACGCUGGGUUCCCGCAUCAAGACGAAAAGACCCCAUGGAGCUUUACUAUAACUUCGUAUUGGAAUUUGGCCUAACAUGUGUAGGAUAGGUGGGAGACUUUGAAGCUGAGACGCCAGUAGCAGUGGAGUCAACCUUGAAAUACCACCCUUGUUAUGUUGAAUUUCUAACUUACCAUCAUAAUCAGGUGGGAGGACAGUGCGUGGUGGGUAGUUUGACUGGGGCGGUCGCCUCCUAAAGAGUAACGGAGGCGUUCAAAGGUACACUCAGUACGGUCAGAAACCGUAUGUAGAGCGCAAAGGCAGAAGUGUGCUUGACUGUGAGACAUACAAGUCGAGCAGGUGCGAAAGCAGGACUUAGUGAUCCGGCUGUACAUUGUGGAAUGGCAGUCGCUCAACGGAUAAAAGUUACCCUGGGGAUAACAGGCUAAUCUUGCCCAAGAGAUCACAUCGACGGCAAGGUUUGGCACCUCGAUGUCGGCUCAUCGCAUCCUGGAGCUGGAGUCGGUUCCAAGGGUUGGGCUGUUCGCCCAUUAAAGCGGUACGCGAGCUGGGUUCAAAACGUCGUGAGACAGUUUGGUCCCUAUCUGAUGUGGGCGUUGGAAUAUUGAUGAGAGCCGCUCUUAGUACGAGAGGACCGGAGUGGACGUACCGCUGGUGUUCCAGUUGUUCCGCCAGGAGCAUGGCUGGGUAGCUAAGUACGGAAAGGAUAACCGCUGAAAGCAUCUAAGUGGGAAGCCUCCUCAGAGAUUAGUAUUCCCUUGAAAUUCCUUAUAGACUAUGAGGUUGAUAGGCUGGAUGUGUAAGCACAGUAAUGUGUUGAGCUGACCAGUACUAAUAAAUUGAAAGGUUUAAAAG